UACAGAGGGUGCAAGCGUUGUUCGGAAUUAUUGGGCGUAAAGGGCGUGCAGGCGGUUUGUUAAGUGCAGGGUGAAAGCUCCCGGCUCAACUGGGAGAGGUCCUUGCAUACUGGCGAACUCGAGGGAGGCAGAGGAAAGUGGAAUUCCCGGUGUAGUGGUGAUAUGCGUAGAUAUCGGGAGGAACACCUGUGGCGAAGGCGGCUUUCUGGGCCUUACCUGACGCUGAGACGCGAAAGCGUGGGGAGCGAACAGG
Molecule: ribosomal RNA, 253 nt
Filed under: uncultured bacterium
Lineage: Bacteria
Description: partial 16S ribosomal RNA
Rfam family: Bacterial small subunit ribosomal RNA
Source: RNAcentral